GAAUAUUGGACAAUGGGGGCAACCCUGAUCCAGCCAUGCCGCGUGUGUGAAGAAGGCUUUCGGGUUGUAAAGCACUUUCAGUGGUGAGGAAGGCUUGGUCUUAAUACGGUCAAGUACUUGACGUUAGCCACAGAAGAAGCACCGGCUAACUCCGUGCACGCAGCCGCGGUAAUACGGAGGGUGCGAGCGUUAAUCGGAAUUACUGGGCGUAAAGCGCGCGUAGGCGGUUUGUUAAGUGAGAUGUGAAAGACCUGGGCUCAACCUGGGAACGGCAUUUCAUACUGGCAGGCUAGAGUAUGGUAGAGGUGGGUAGAAUUCCUGGUGUAGCGGUGAAAUGCGUAGAGAUCAGGAGGAAUACCGGUGGCGAAGGCGGCCCACUGGACCGAUACUGACGCUGAGGUGCGAAAGCGUGGGGAGCAAACAGG
Molecule: ribosomal RNA, 425 nt
Filed under: uncultured bacterium
Lineage: Bacteria
Description: bacterial SSU rRNA
Rfam family: Bacterial small subunit ribosomal RNA
Source: RNAcentral